CAGCUCAUCUUCCCUACCAGCGGCAGCUUGUUCUGCAUCACGGGCGCUUCCUUCAGAAGGAGGAGCUGCCUCAACCUCAACAACGUGAUUUCAGGCGCCAUCAUGCUCCCGAAGAUGUGGCUCAAGAACCUCAUCAUGCUCGCCUGCGUCUCGGCGAUCAGGCUCGUCUCUUCGGUCGCACUGACGGCGCCGCUAGUCUGGGCCGGCAUGGCCGAUAUGUGCUUCCACAUGGCGGGCAGCAGCCUGUUGAACAUGAACCGGGUUGCCCAUCGCCCUCAUCCUCUACUUCCUCUGCUUCGCCGGCCAUGGCUUCUUCCUGACAGUGUACUCCUCGAUGAAGUCCAAGAAGGAUUUUCCCAAAAUACACUUAUUAAAAUUUAUUUAUGUGUUGUUGAUGUUUACUAA
RNAcentral lists this long non-coding RNA (405 nucleotides) under Oryza sativa Indica Group (long-grained rice). RNAcentral describes it as "lncRNA OsZS97_06G023260". Lineage: Eukaryota; Viridiplantae; Streptophyta; Magnoliopsida; Poales; Poaceae. The record is from RNAcentral.